UAGGGCUCCCGCCAGCAAAGUUUUCUAGUGUUUUAUUGGAACAUCUGGGAAACCCAGGCCUUGGAAGACCCACCUGAAUAAUUGAGGCGUGGCUAUAUUUACGGACCUAUUCAAACCGACAGAUAUCAUUGUACGGAAAAGUCAACUAGAUCAAAAAG
This is a long non-coding RNA of Leptinotarsa decemlineata (Colorado potato beetle), 158 nucleotides long. Lineage: Eukaryota; Metazoa; Arthropoda; Insecta; Coleoptera; Chrysomelidae. The record is from RefSeq and is a predicted model, not a curated record.